Molecule: non-coding RNA, 2414 nt
Organism: Podarcis lilfordi (Lilford's wall lizard)
Lineage: Eukaryota; Metazoa; Chordata; Lepidosauria; Squamata; Lacertidae
Source: the annotation of a GenBank genome assembly
CUGCAACUGACACAGGGAUGAGUCACGUACAUACACAGCAUUUCAGGCACCGCAUGAAGCCAUCUCUCCCUGCACAGGCAAGCCUGCCAGACAUGUGGCACUCAUCUGUUACGAUGGAGCUGAAAGCAACCGAACAAUCUUCUCCCUUGUUGCCUCGGCCCACAAGGCUUCCGCAGUGGCAUGAGUAGAUGCCACUCUGUGUGACAUAGAAAUAUCUGCAUAUUGUUCGGAUGGAGGGUGUUAAUCUCUCCUCCUACGUGGUAUUCUAAAGCACACAGAGAGAGACCACAAGCCAGGCAGGGAGGAUGUUCAGCAUCUUUCAUUUCGCUGCCCUCCCCCCUUUCCUUCCUUCUUCCUCCUUCUUCCGAAAAUGGCCUAUGUUUAAAAAGUACUACCCCCGUGGUUUCUGACUAUUGCUCAGGGCAAUUUUGCUUAGCCUAGCGGAAUGUCCUGGAAACUGCUGGCAAUAACUUUUAGCCCCCAAGACUGGAACAUGUUGAGCAGAGACAGAAAGCCUAUGAACAACUAAUGGCCGGGAGCCAGAGUAAACAAGUGCGGUUCGUCGGGUUGCGGUCAGAAAUGUCUCCCUUUUCAGUAUGCAGCGCAAAAUCCUCUGCCAACAGUUGCCAUAAAGUUAUUACACAAAGCUGUUUUUCCUCUCAGUAAGACAAACCCAAUGAAAGGCUGCUUCUCGUCCAGCCCCUUGCUGACAUUAGGCCUCCAAGAUAGUCUGUCAUGCCAAGAGAGACCUGUGUGAGCUGCGGUCUCCCUUCCAGGCUGCGUUUUUCAUUAGGCUAGUUAGGGCUUCUGUACAGAAGCAAGUGAGAGGGGGUGGAAGGAGGGGAGAGAGCAGAGAAGGAGAGCAGAAGAUUACACACACACACACACUUUUCUUUCAGGAUAGCAUGACAAACCACAGAGCAGCAAAUUCUGUCCUCCCUUUCCAAACUCUGUCCUAGCUGGCCUGGGCUUGCGAGGGGAAUUGGAGCAUAAGCUGCUAGCUUGUACCAAGCCAGACCAUUUGGGCCUUCAGCAGUGUGUCUAUACUGGGGUAGGGAACUGCAGACCCAGGGGCCAAAAGUGGCCUUCCUCUCCCCUAGCUACCAGAACCCACCAGAGCACCAUUUCUGACCUGUUAAAGCUCCUUAGGAAGCUGCUACUUGCCCCAAUGUGCUUUUAAGCUCUUUGAAAGAAUUUGUGCAAGUCUGAUUUGAAUUAGUUAUAAAACUCUACCUCUUAUGUCCACAUUUCCUCCCUGAUUAUAGGUGCCUACCCCCGGAGGCCAUCAUACCAAGCAAUGGUUUUGAUAGUGAGGCUUCUUCGUUCUUACUGAUGUCAGAGUUGGCUAGCACCUUGGAUUUCAGUAGUAGAGACUCACCCAUUAGGAUGAAUGGGGCACUGCCUCAGGAACCUCAGUCCACCCUGAGCCAGCCCCUGCCUGCCUGCUGUCUUACAUCCAUUAGAGGGAGCGGGUGGAGCUGUGGUCUAAACCACUGAGCCUCUUGGGCUUGCUGAUCAGAAGGUUGGUGGUUCGAAUCCCCAUGACGGGGUAAGCUCCCAUUGCUCUGUCCCAGCUCCUGUCAACCUAGCAGUUCAAAAGCACAACAGUGCAAGUAGAGAAAUAGGUACCACAGUGGCAGGAAGGUAAACGGCGUUCCCAUGUGCUCUGGUUUCCGUCAUGGUGUUCCGUUGCGCCUAAAGCAGUUUAAUCAUGUUGGCCACAUGACCCAGAAAGCUGUCUGUGGACAAACACUGGCUCCCUCGGCCUGAAAGUGAGAUGAGCACGGCAACCUCACAGUCGCCUUUGACUGGACUUAAUGGCCCAGGGGUCCUUUACCUUUUUACUUUACCUUACAUCCAUUGCAGGAGGUAGCUCUGCUUGUCACCUUCCUCCUUCUUAGUCUCAGUGUUGCCCCUUGUCAAACUCAGCAGGGAGGUUGAUGGGGACAAGACUAGAAUUAGUUGGCUCUAGCUGGUAUUGGUGCUGUCUCUAUGUACUGCCGGCCUCCCUGCCUUCCACUGCAUCAUUUCCAAUGGUACCACUGGGUGGUGUUAGCUGGAAAAAGUGAAUCCCUCCUCUCUUUCCCCUUUCUUUUUUUACAGUACUAAACUCUCCUCCGGUGCCUCCAGGCCCCCGGCUUCCCUGACAACAGCCAAAUGCAUUUCCUCCAUGCUUCCUCUGCCUCUUAAUAAGCAUGCAUUAUUGUGUGCUCUCUGUGCUGCGCCCAGCAGAUAUAAUAAUAACACCGUCUGCUGAGCUUUUCACAAGGCACCCUGCAAUAACAGCACCUUCUCCUCUCCUCUGAGUUAAAAAGAGAACAGGCUGACAUGCAUUCCGAAUGCACCAUACCAGUGUAAUGAUAGCAAUGAUUACAUGGGAAAGUAAAAGGUUCCAUGGCAUCCGUGUUAUUUCA